AUUUUGUAAAGCCAGCUAAUCUGAUUUCAGCUUGCAAUUACAGCCAGCUUUUGACAUUUUUGUGUGUAUUAUGCAUCAGAUGGUUUGUAGGCAGUCUGUGAGCGUGCCGUCUGAAGCUCAGACUAGAAUGGAGAUGGAGAUCUGUGGAGGGGCAGAGGAUCAGACAGACGGGAGGAACCAAGACUCAUUUACACAGAUGAACAUGUGGACGAAAGUCAGGUGGUUCCAGGUGCACCUAUCGUAGGCAUACUUUUCCUCCAGGCUGGGAACAUUGCCCCCUUGUAGUGCCUGAACUUCGGCUGAGUCGGGUGGCAGCCUCCCAUUUGUUAAAUGCUACAUGAGGUGACUGGAGCUUCUCUGCCCGUCGCUGAGAGGACAGAUGGAGAGGCCACGGAAUGUUCUGGAGAGCCGAUGGUAAUUACAAGCCAGUAGCAGAGCCGAUGGCUUCCGCAGGGAACAGGCCUGAGCGGAAGCGCUCGAGUGGCGUGGGGGGUUGUUUGCCCUUUGGCUGCUCAGCAUGCUGUUGCUCUGUGCGGUGAGCUCGUGUUGGGACUGCCGUCACUGCACAUUUCUCUGCUCUUCAUGUCAGGUGAGGUGUGUGUGGGAACAUGGUGACAUUUGUGAGCUUUUGUCAUUCACAAGGAGUUUAACUCUUCAGAUGUGUUUCCAGUUCUAUUCAUUUCAGUAGAUAACUGAUGGAAGUCGCAGAUGUGUACAAAAGAAUUUUAUGGAUCAGUCCACCCAAAAAUAAAAUAAUUAUCAUCAUUUACUCA
Long non-coding RNA from Cyprinus carpio (common carp), 773 nucleotides. Lineage: Eukaryota; Metazoa; Chordata; Actinopteri; Cypriniformes; Cyprinidae. The record is from Ensembl.